UAGGCCUAGUGGCUCACCUUCUCCAAACUGGCACCAACUCCUGUCGACACGUACAGCAGUGAUUAUCAGAGGGUUAAUCCACUAAUAAGUCCUGGAUUCCACACAAUGCCAGUGUGUCACCUGUCUUCACAAAUUUAAUAAAGCCCUGCAGAUGUUCCUAUACUACCUGUCACUGGUCUCUGCUCCAUUACUCUCUACUGAGAUGAUCUUGAAG
This is a long non-coding RNA of Chinchilla lanigera (long-tailed chinchilla), 214 nucleotides long. RefSeq lists it as uncharacterized. The transcript has 3 exons. The record is from RefSeq and is a predicted model, not a curated record. NCBI's taxonomy places the organism in Eukaryota, Metazoa, Chordata, Mammalia, Rodentia, Chinchillidae.